This 266-nucleotide signal recognition particle RNA is filed under the name Mesobacillus campisalis. RNAcentral describes it as "Bacillus campisalis Bacterial large signal recognition particle RNA". It matches the Rfam family "Bacterial large signal recognition particle RNA". From Rfam's summary of the family: The signal recognition particle (SRP) is a universally conserved ribonucleoprotein involved in the co-translational targeting of proteins to membranes. Archaeal SRP consists of a 7S RNA and homologues of the eukaryotic SRP19 and SRP54 proteins. Lineage: Bacteria; Bacillati; Bacillota; Bacilli; Caryophanales; Bacillaceae. The record is from Rfam by way of RNAcentral.
CCGUGCUAGAUGGGGAGUUGGCGGUGCCCUGUAACCCGCAAUCCGCCAUAGCGGGGUUGAAUUCCUGUCCGAGGCCGAAGGGUUCCUGGUCUGCCUUGUAAAAAGUCGGCGUUGACAAUUGGGUCCUGCGCAAUAGACAGCUGUGAACGGGUCAGAGCCGGAAGGCAGCAGCCAUAAGCAGUUUUCUCUAUGUGCCGCAGGGUUGCCUAAUCGAGCUGAAUUUUACAAGUAACGCUUGGAUGUUUCGUCCGGAGGCAGGUGCACGG